AACCAGCUGCUGAGCAUGAUGGAGGGUCGCCUCGAUGACCUGCUGUCACGCAUUGCCAUGGAGACGCAGGAGAUCAGAGAGCUGGAGCAGCAGUUGACGGACGGUCAGAUCCUGGCCAAUGAGGCUCUUCAGAGGGACCUACAGGAAGUGAUCCGUGGACUUCAGGAGUACCUGAGAGGACUCAGACUGCAGGCUCUUCGCUCCCAGC
Molecule: long non-coding RNA, 208 nt
Organism: Nematolebias whitei (Rio pearlfish)
Lineage: Eukaryota; Metazoa; Chordata; Actinopteri; Cyprinodontiformes; Rivulidae
Exons: 3
Source: RefSeq, a predicted model, not a curated record